ACUUCUAGGGAAUGGCACUACACCCAAUUCAUCGAGUAUGGUGGUCAUCACCUGACUGAAUAAUACAGACAUGAAUGAAAGGAACAAAGAAGCAGCUAAACAUUGAUGGAGAACAUUGACACUGGUUGCCUAAUAAAUAUGUAACAAAAUGGAAAAUAAGAAAAGCAUUAGAGAAGUAAGAAGGCCAAGAUAUCGGCUUCCCAAAACGACUUCUGGUGUGACAGUGUGCCAAAGGAAAUGAGUAACUUUUAUGUGGGUGGCAGUAUGUCAAAUGUCAUGAGUAGGUGGUUGGCUUUCUUGUUCUGCUAAUUUUCUAAGCCUGUCUUCAAGGAAUUUACAUUUUGUUGGGAAAAAUGCUCUUGGUAAAUUGCAGUUUGCAAUAAAUCAAAGCCCUUUUGUGUCA
Molecule: long non-coding RNA, 403 nt
Organism: Ornithorhynchus anatinus (platypus)
Lineage: Eukaryota; Metazoa; Chordata; Mammalia; Monotremata; Ornithorhynchidae
Exons: 2
Source: RefSeq, a predicted model, not a curated record